This 210-nucleotide ribosomal RNA is filed under the name Hafnia paralvei. Its description in RNAcentral is "partial 16S ribosomal RNA". It matches the Rfam family "Bacterial small subunit ribosomal RNA", at positions 1 to 211 of the family's 1533-position model. The record is from RNAcentral. Lineage: Bacteria; Pseudomonadati; Pseudomonadota; Gammaproteobacteria; Enterobacterales; Hafniaceae.
UUAAUUGAAGAGUUUGAUCAUGGCUCAGAUUGAACGCUGGCGGCAGGCCUAACACAUGCAAGUCGAGCGGUAGCACAAGAGAGCUUGCUCUCUGGGUGACGAGCGGCGGACGGGUGAGUAAUGUCUGGGAAACUGCCUGAUGGAGGGGGAUAACUACUGGAAACGGUAGCUAAUACCGCAUGACGUCUUCGGACCAAAGUGGGGGACCUU